This 597-nucleotide ribosomal RNA is filed under the name uncultured fungus. RNAcentral's name for it is "eukaryotic LSU rRNA". The stretch from base 138 to 292 matches the Rfam family "5.8S ribosomal RNA". Lineage: Eukaryota; Fungi. The record is from RNAcentral.
CCUAAUGUAGGAUGCCUCUCCUCCGGGAGGGGGGACCUAUGUCUUCAUAACAUCUUCGUGUAGAAAGUCUUUGAAUGUUUACUAUCAUCGAGUCGCGACUUCUAGGAGACGCGAUUCUUUGAGAUAAAAGUUAUUACAACUUUCAGCAACGGGUCUCUUGGCUCUCGCAUCGAUGAAGAACGCAGCGAAAAGCGAUAUGUAAUGUGAAUUGCAGAUCUACAGUGAAUCAUCGAAUCUUUGAACGCACCUUGCGCUCCUCGGUGUUCCGAGGAGCAUGCCUGUUUGAGUGUCAGUAAAUUCUCAACCCCUCUCGAUUAGCUUCGAGAGGGCGUUUGGAUAGUGGAGGUUGCCGGAGACUUGGAUUCGUCCGAGACUCGGGCUCUUCUGAAAUGCAUCGGCUUGCGGUCGACUUUCGACUAUGUGCGACAAGGCUUUCGGCGUGAUAAUGAUCGCCGUUCGCUGAAGCGCAUGACUGAACGUCCCGUGCCUCUAAUACGUCGACCGCUUAUUAUCUCUCCGGAGAGAACAGGGUCUUCCUAAUUGACUUUUGACCUCAAAUCAGGUAGGACUACCCGCUGAACUUAAGCAUAUCAAUAA